GACGUAGGGGGCAAGCGUUGUCCGGAAUUACUGGGCGUAAAGGGCGUGUAGGCGGUGCGGUACGUAGCGGUUUUAAGCCUCCGGCUCACCCGGAGGAGGGCGGCUAAACGGCAGCACUGGAGGGCAGGAGAGGUGCGCGGAAUUCCUGGUGGAGCGGUGAAAUGCGUAGAGAUCAGGAAGAACACCAGUGGCGAAGGCGGCGCACUGGCCUGGCCCUGACGCUGAGGCGCGACAGCGUGGGGAGCAAACGGGAUUAGAUACCCCGGUAGUCCACGCCGUAAACGAUGGAUACUAGGUGUCGCGGGGGUCCACCUCGCGGUGCCGGAGCUAACGCACUAAGUAUCCCGCCUGGGGAGUACGGCCGCAAGGUUGAAACUCAAAGGAAUUGACGGGGGCCCGCACAAGCAGUGGAGCAUGUGGUUUAAUUCGACGCAACGCGCAGAACCUUACCAGGACUAGACGGGAUCGUGAGCGCCGCGAAAGCGGCGGGCCCUUCGGGGAGCGAUCGUCAGGUGCUGCAUGGUUGUCGUCAGCUCGUGUCGUGAGAUGUUGGGUUAAGUCCCGCAACGAGCGCAACCCUUGUCGUGUGUUGCCGGCGGUUCGGCCGGGCACUCACACGAGACUGCCGGUGACAAACCGGAGGAAGGUGGGGAUGACGUCAAAUCCGCAUGGCCUUGAUGUCCUGGGCUACACACGUGCUACAAUGGUCCCGACAACGGGCCGCGACGGCGCGAGCCUGAGCGAAUCCUUCAAACGGGACCUCAGUUCGGAUUGCAGGCUGCAACCCGCCUGCAUGAAGUCGGAAUUGCUAGUAAUCGCCCAUCAGCAUGGGGCGGUGAAUUCGUUCCCGGGCCU
Molecule: ribosomal RNA, 855 nt
Filed under: uncultured bacterium
Lineage: Bacteria
Description: bacterial SSU rRNA
Rfam family: Bacterial small subunit ribosomal RNA
Source: RNAcentral